CAAACCCUAAAAGCUUAUAUUUCUAGCUUCCUCCUCUCUCAUACGGCAGUGGGAAUUGAAACUGUACCAAUCAAAUUGGAGAGCAGAGGAGAGCAGGCCGAUCAAUAAGUGAAGUGGAGUGGAUCGGAAUCCCUAUUGAUUCAUUCUUUCGGUGCGGUGCGGCAAGCAAAAGCAAAAUUAGGACAAUAUUGCAACAGAUUCAAGUGCACACCAUGAUGAAGAUGGUACUGAUGAAGAUGGUGAUGAAGAUGUUGCUGAUGAAUAUGAUGCAAACUCUAAUUAAGACUUUUAGUAGAUAUAUUGUUAGCUUCCUUGCUUAAGAAUGAUUAUAUUAUAAAGACCAAAUAUUGAAUAUUUAUCUUUAUCUGAACAUGUAUGAAUGAUUAACUAUG
Rosa chinensis is the source of this 392-nucleotide long non-coding RNA. RefSeq lists it as uncharacterized. The record is from RefSeq and is a predicted model, not a curated record. The transcript has 3 exons. Lineage: Eukaryota; Viridiplantae; Streptophyta; Magnoliopsida; Rosales; Rosaceae.